UGUAAACGUAUACCAAAGUUGCUGCAGUUAAAACGCUCGUAGUCGGAAUUUGGCAGUUCCGGAAGUGUGCACGUCGUGUGCGCACUUUGCGGGGACUGCUUUUGUGGUCUUGCGUAGGAUGAGGCACUUUCAUUAGUGAACGUCCUCACGCAACCACUCUUUACUGUGAGAAAAUCAGAGUGCUCAAAGCAGGCAUUUGCCGUGAAUGUAUUAGCAUGGAAUAAUAGAAUAGGACUCGGUUCUAUUUUGUUGGUUUGUUGGGACUGAGUAAUGAUUAAGAGGGACAGUUGGGGGCAUUUGUAUUCCGGCGCUAGAGGUGAAAUUCUUAGAUUGCCGGAAGACAAACUGCUGCGAAAGCGUCUGCCAAGGAUGUUUUCAUUGA
This 382-nucleotide ribosomal RNA is filed under the name uncultured eukaryote. RNAcentral describes it as "partial 18S ribosomal RNA". It matches the Rfam family "Eukaryotic small subunit ribosomal RNA", at positions 592 to 976 of the family's 1831-position model. The record is from RNAcentral.